GAAACACUAGUAAAACAGUCAUUACGCAGCCUUGUCAAGGCUAAAUUGUAGGUUAAACCCCUACGUGUUUUA
Molecule: transfer RNA, 72 nt
Filed under: Calotomus japonicus (Japanese parrotfish)
Lineage: Eukaryota; Metazoa; Chordata; Actinopteri; Labriformes; Labridae
Description: tRNA-Asp
Rfam family: tRNA
About the family: Transfer RNA (tRNA) molecules are approximately 80 nucleotides in length. Their secondary structure includes four short double-helical elements and three loops (D, anti-codon, and T loops).
Source: RNAcentral